This 362-nucleotide RNase P RNA is filed under the name Lysobacter defluvii IMMIB APB-9 = DSM 18482. RNAcentral describes it as "Bacterial RNase P class A". It matches the Rfam family "Bacterial RNase P class A". Rfam says of the family: Ribonuclease P (RNase P) is a ubiquitous endoribonuclease, found in archaea, bacteria and eukarya as well as chloroplasts and mitochondria. Its best characterised activity is the generation of mature 5'-ends of tRNAs by cleaving the 5'-leader elements of precursor-tRNAs. The record is from Rfam by way of RNAcentral. Lineage: Bacteria; Pseudomonadati; Pseudomonadota; Gammaproteobacteria; Lysobacterales; Lysobacteraceae.
GGAGUCGGCCAGGCAGUCGCGUCAUCCCCACCCCCGCGGUGGCGGGUGCCGAGGAAAGUCCGGGCUCCACAGGGCACGGUGCCAGGUAACGCCUGGGCGGCGCGAGCCGACGGAAAGUGCAACAGAGAGCAGACCGCCGAUGGCCCGCGAGGGCACAGGCAAGGGUGAAACGGUGCGGUAAGAGCGCACCGCGAGUCUGGCAACAGACCGGCACGGCAAACCCCACCGGGAGCAAGACCAAAUAGGGAGGCAAUGCCGCGGCCCGCGGUGCCUCCGGGUAGGUUGCUUGAGCGUAUCGGUGACGAUGCGCCCAGAGGAAUGACUGUCCACGACAGAACCCGGCUUAUCGGCCGGCUCCGCUC